RNAcentral lists this ribosomal RNA (119 nucleotides) under Bacillus anthracis (anthrax bacterium). The record is from RNAcentral. Lineage: Bacteria; Bacillati; Bacillota; Bacilli; Caryophanales; Bacillaceae. RNAcentral also lists the same sequence under 4 other names.
UUUGGUGAUGAUGGCAGAGAGGUCACACCCGUUCCCAUACCGAACACGGAAGUUAAGCUCUCUAGCGCCGAUGGUAGUUGGGACCUUGUCCCUGUGAGAGUAGGACGUCGCCAAGCAAG